UAGUGCCUACUGUACAAGCCUAUGAUCUCGUCUGAUCUCGGAAGCUACGUAGGGUCGGGCCUGGUUUGUACUUAUAUGGGAGACCACCUGGGAAUACCCAGUGCUGUAU
This 109-nucleotide ribosomal RNA is filed under the name Amphilophus citrinellus (Midas cichlid). The record is from RNAcentral. Lineage: Eukaryota; Metazoa; Chordata; Actinopteri; Cichliformes; Cichlidae.